GCCCCCCAGCGCCAAUGGUACUGCCCCCGACAGGCGGGCGGGAGAGUAGGACACCGCCGGCA
Molecule: ribosomal RNA, 62 nt
Filed under: Actinomyces ruminicola
Lineage: Bacteria; Bacillati; Actinomycetota; Actinomycetes; Actinomycetales; Actinomycetaceae
Source: RNAcentral